This 524-nucleotide ribosomal RNA is filed under the name uncultured bacterium. RNAcentral's name for it is "bacterial SSU rRNA". It matches the Rfam family "Bacterial small subunit ribosomal RNA", at positions 26 to 518 of the family's 1533-position model. The record is from RNAcentral.
GGCUAGGACGAACGCUGGCGGCGUGCCUAAUACAUGCAAGUCGAACGGUCUUUCUAUGGAAGCUUGCUUCCACUGAGAAGAUAGUGGCGGACGGGUGAGUAACACGUGGGUAACCUGCCCAUAAGAGGGGGAUAACAUCCGGAAACGGGUGCUAAUACCGCAUAGUUUUCUUGAUCGCAUGAUCGAGAAAGGAAAGACGGCCUUUGUGCUGUCGCUUAUGGAUGGACCCGCGGCGUAUUAGUUAGUUGGUGAGGUAAUGGCUCACCAAGACGAUGAUACGUAGCCGACCUGAGAGGGUGAUCGGCCACAUUGGGACUGAGACACGGCCCAAACUCCUACGGGAGGCAGCAGUAGGGAAUCUUCCGCAAUGGACGAAAGUCUGACGGAGCAACGCCGCGUGAGUGAAGAAGGUUUUUCCGGAUCGUAAAACUCUGUUGUCAGAGAAGAACAAGUUGGAGAGUAACUGCUCCAGCCUUGACGGUAUCUGACCAGAAAGCCACGGCUAACUACGUGCCAGCCGCUGC